AUUUACCAUUACCUAUCAUCAUUACCUACAGCCACACUGGGAAAUGCGUCAGUACAGCUGAGACACGGCCCAGACUCCUACGGGAGGCAGCAGUGGGGAAUAUUGCACAAUGGGGGAAACCCUGAUGCAGCCAUGCCGCGUGUGUGAAGAAGGCCUUCGGGUUGUAAAGCACUUUCAGUUGUGAGGAAAGGUUAGUAGUUAAUACCUGCUAGCUGUGACGUUAGCAACAGAAGAAGCACCGGCUAACUCCGUGCCAGCAGCCGCGGUAAUACGGAGGGUGCGAGCGUUAAUCGGAAUUACUGGGCGUAAAGCGUGCGUAGGCGGUUACAUAAGUCAGAUGUGAAAGCCCGGGGCUCAUUCAACCUCGGAACUGCAUUUGAAACUGUGUGACUAGAGUAUUGUAGAGGGUGGUGGAAUUUCCAGUGUAGCGGUGAAAUGCGUAGAGAUUGGAAGGAACAUCAGUGGCGAAUGCGGCCACCUGGACAAAUACUGACGCUGAGGCACGAAAGCGUGGGGAGCAAACAGGAUUAGAUACCCUGGUAGUCCACGCCGUAAACGAUGUCAACUAGUUGUCUGUGCACUUGAUGCGUGGGUGACGUAGCUAACGCGCUAAGUUGACCGCCUGGGGAGUACGGCCGCAAGGUUAAAACUCAAAUGAAUUGACGGGGGCCCGCACAAGCGGUGGAGCAUGUGGUUUAAUUCGAUAAUCGGACUAUUUACGCACAGCAACGCGAAGAACCUUACCAUCCCUUGACAUCCAGAGAAUUUUUAGACCAGGAUUAGGAUAGA
Molecule: ribosomal RNA, 789 nt
Filed under: Thalassotalea agarivorans
Lineage: Bacteria; Pseudomonadati; Pseudomonadota; Gammaproteobacteria; Alteromonadales; Colwelliaceae
Description: bacterial SSU rRNA
Rfam family: Bacterial small subunit ribosomal RNA
Source: RNAcentral